CCUACGGGAGGCUGCAGUGAGGAAUAUUGGUCAAUGGGCGGAAGCCUGAACCAGCCAAGUAGCGUGCGGGAUGAAGGCCCUACGGGUCGUAAACCGCUUUUGCACGGGGAUAACACCCUCCACUUGUGGAGGUCUGCAGGUACCGUGCGAAUAAGGGCCGGCUAAUUCCGUGCCAGCAGCCGCGGUAAUACGGAAGGCCCGAGCGUUGUCCGGAUUCAUUGGGCUUAAAGGGAGCGUAGGCGGGCGUUCAAGUCAGCUGUAAAAGCGCGCGGCUCAACCGCGCCCCGCAGUUGAAACUGGACGCCUUGAGUUCACAACAGGCAGGCGGAAUUCGUGGUGUAGCGGUGAAAUGCAUAGAUAUCACGAGGAACCCCGAUUGCGAAGGCAGCCUGCCGGGGUGCGACUGACGCUGAGGCUCGAAGGUGCGGGUAUCAAACAGGAUUAGAUACCCUAGUAGUC
This 459-nucleotide ribosomal RNA is filed under the name uncultured bacterium. RNAcentral's name for it is "partial 16S ribosomal RNA". It matches the Rfam family "Bacterial small subunit ribosomal RNA", at positions 338 to 795 of the family's 1533-position model. The record is from RNAcentral.